This 497-nucleotide ribosomal RNA is filed under the name uncultured bacterium. Its description in RNAcentral is "partial 16S ribosomal RNA". It matches the Rfam family "Bacterial small subunit ribosomal RNA", at positions 28 to 507 of the family's 1533-position model. The record is from RNAcentral.
GAUGAACGCUGGCGGCGUGCCUAAUACAUGCAAGUCGAGCGAACAGACGAGGAGCUUGCUCCUCUGACGUUAGCGGCGGACGGGUGAGUAACACGUGGAUAACCUACCUAUCAGACUGGGAUAACUUCGGGAAACCGGAGCUAAUACCGGAUAAUAUAUUUAACCUCAUGGUUCAAUAGUGAAAGACGGUUUUGCUGUCACUGAUAGAUGGAUCCGCGCCGCAUUAGCUAGUUGGUAGGGUAACGGCUUACCAAGGCAACGAUGCGUAGCCGACCUGAGAGGGUGAUCGGCCACACGGGAACUGAGACACGGUCCAGCCUCCUACGGGAGGCAGCAGUAGGGAAUCUUCCGCAAUGGGCGAAAGCGUGACGGAGCAACGCCGCGUGAGUGAUGAAGGUCUUCGGAUCGUAAAACUCUGUUAUUAGGGAAGAACAAAUGUGUAAGUAACUAUGCACGUCUUGACGGUACCUAAUCAGAAAGCCACGGCUAACUACGUG